UCCGAAUUGGUGUAGUGGCUAACAUUUGACGCUCUCAUGAUUGUACAGUCAAUAGGACCGUCAAGCCCGGGGUUCGAUUCCCCGAUUCGGAG
RNAcentral lists this transfer RNA (92 nucleotides) under Annulohypoxylon truncatum. RNAcentral's name for it is "tRNA-Glu". The record is from RNAcentral. Lineage: Eukaryota; Fungi; Ascomycota; Sordariomycetes; Xylariales; Hypoxylaceae.